RNAcentral lists this ribosomal RNA (459 nucleotides) under Triticum aestivum (bread wheat). RNAcentral describes it as "partial small subunit ribosomal RNA". Lineage: Eukaryota; Viridiplantae; Streptophyta; Magnoliopsida; Poales; Poaceae. The record is from RNAcentral.
AUGGCGAUGGCGAUGGCGAUGGAGACGGCGACGGGUUUCUCUGGCGAUGGAGACGGCGACGGGUUGAGGGCUACGGGGACGCCGCGGCGAGGAGGGGCAGGCGCGAGGUGGGGGCUCUGUCCGGCGGUUUCCCAUGACAUCUACUACCGGAAGGCCAAGGAGGAGGGGUGGAGGGCUCGCAGCGCCUUCAAGCUCAUGCAGAUCGACCAGGAGUUCAACAUCUUCCACGGUCUCGUCUCAACCCAAUCAGCUCGCUCGCCUUCCUGCCACUUUGCUUCCAUUGGAGUGAAGCGUGCCGUUGACCUGUGCGCUGCUCCUGGGAGCUGGAGCCAGAUGUACAUAUGCUGCCAGGUUAUCAGGGACUUUGAUGGAUGUAAAGCAGACUUGGUUGUGUGUGAUGCUGCCCUGAUGUUACUGGACUUCAUGAUAUGGACGAGUUUGUUCAGUCUUCAGUCCUAG